AUCCAUAGCCAUAUCACCAUGCAGCCCAAGACCAGUUACUUACUGAAGCGAAGCAGGGUUAAGCCUGGUCAGUAUCUGGAUGGGAGACCACAUGAGAAAACUAGGUUGUUGUUGGAA
This is a non-coding RNA of Danio rerio (zebrafish), 117 nucleotides long. The record is from Rfam. Lineage: Eukaryota; Metazoa; Chordata; Actinopteri; Cypriniformes; Danionidae.